AUGGACGUUCAUGGGGGCAGCCUCGAUUGGGCACACAUGGGCCAAACUAGUCAAGGAAAGGCGGGGAAUCAGAGGGAAGGCGGCGGCGGAGCAGCGCCAGGGCGUGGCGGCGCCGGAGCCAGCCGGCAACGGCCGGAGCAGAGGAUGGAGGUGCCGGCGACAUGCACGGGGGAGGAAGUAGAGAAGGGGAUCGACCGCUUCAUGUGUUGUUGUUGUCCGCUUUUAUGUGUUGUGCGUUGGGUGGAUCCACCGGCCGCAUUUGUCCGCCCCAUGUCCGCUAGGCGGACAGAUGACCUAAACGGAUAA
RNAcentral lists this ribosomal RNA (306 nucleotides) under Triticum aestivum (bread wheat). RNAcentral describes it as "partial small subunit ribosomal RNA". Lineage: Eukaryota; Viridiplantae; Streptophyta; Magnoliopsida; Poales; Poaceae. The record is from RNAcentral.